This 497-nucleotide ribosomal RNA is filed under the name uncultured bacterium. Its description in RNAcentral is "partial 16S ribosomal RNA". It matches the Rfam family "Bacterial small subunit ribosomal RNA", at positions 28 to 507 of the family's 1533-position model. The record is from RNAcentral.
GACGAACGCUGGCGGCGUGCCUAAUACAUGCAAGUUGAGCGAUGAAGCUUGGUGCUUGCCCCAAUUUGAAGAGCAGCGAACGGGUGAGUAACGCGUGGGGAAUCUUCCUUUGAGCGGGGGACAACAUUUGGAAACGAAUGCUAAUACCGCAUAAUAACUUUAAACAUAAGUUUUAAGUUUGAAAGAUGCAAUUGCAUCACUCAAAGAUGAUCCCGCGUUGUAUUGGCUAGUUGGUGAGGUAAAGGCUCACCAAGGCGAUGAUACAUAGCCGACCUGAGAGGGUGAUCGGCCACAUUGGGAAUGAGACACGGCCCAAACUCCUACGGGAGGCAGCAGUAGGGAAUCUUCGGCAAUGGACGAAAGUCUGACCGAGCAAAGCCGCGUGAGUGAAGAAGGUUUUCGGAUCGGAAAACUCUGUUGGUAGAGAAGAACGUUGGUGAGAGUGGAAAGCUCAUCAAGUGACGGUAACUACACAGAAAGGGACGGCUAACUACGUG